Molecule: long non-coding RNA, 530 nt
Filed under: Elaeis guineensis (African oil palm)
Lineage: Eukaryota; Viridiplantae; Streptophyta; Magnoliopsida; Arecales; Arecaceae
Description: long non-coding RNA (EGUI_LNC061725)
Source: RNAcentral
GGUCCUUAAUUUUUUAUCCGAUAGAGAAUCCUUCCUUUUCAAAAAAUCUGAAAUCAAUAUUUUUGUCGGUCUCUACCUUCCUAUCGGAAAGGGGUACCUUACUGGGGCUGAUUGGAGAUCGAGUUGUAGCUGGAGCAGAUGCAGGAGCAGGGAUUGAAGCAGAAGUGGUCUCGAUUGCUUGUCUCUUCUGUCGCACACUUUCUUCCAACCCGUGAACUGAUUUCCUCCUCUGUGGAAGCUUCAUCUUCAGAGCCAUUUGCACAUGCAGAGCUAGCAAAGAACUUAGGAGAGCAAAUAUGGGGAGAGAUAAAGGGUUUUUAGGAGAAGGAUAAGGAUUUUGGAGAAGAGGAGUGUUGAUUUGGAGAAGACGGGUAAAGUCUAGGAUAAGCUCGACUCGCUUCAAAUGGAGAAGGAGAAAAGGGAGGAGCUUGGUUCUAAGAGGGCGAUUUAGAAGGUGAGAGAUGGUGGGAGAAGAGUUUUGGGAAGAAACUUGGGUUUGAGGAAGAAGAGAGGGAGUCUUUUGGCUUGGU